RNAcentral lists this ribosomal RNA (253 nucleotides) under uncultured bacterium. Its description in RNAcentral is "partial 16S ribosomal RNA". It matches the Rfam family "Bacterial small subunit ribosomal RNA", at positions 524 to 776 of the family's 1533-position model. The record is from RNAcentral.
UACGGAGGGGGCUAGCGUUGUUCGGAAUUACUGGGCUUAAAGAGCACGUAGGCGGCAUCGUAAGUGUCGGGUGAAAUCCCACGGCUCACCCGUGGAACUGCCCGGCAUACUGCGGUGCUAGAGUGUGGUAGGGGAGAGCGGAACUCCUGGUGGAGCGGUGAAAUGCGUAGAUAUCAGGAGGAACACCGGUGGCGAAGGCGGCUCUCUGGUCCACAACUGACGCUGAGGUGCGAAAGCUAGGGGAGCAAACGGG